RNAcentral lists this long non-coding RNA (214 nucleotides) under Moschus moschiferus (Siberian musk deer). Its description in RNAcentral is "lncRNA (ENSMMSG00000018210.1)". The record is from RNAcentral. Lineage: Eukaryota; Metazoa; Chordata; Mammalia; Artiodactyla; Moschidae.
UGGAGACUUCGAUAAGCAAACUGCCAGACUCGGGGAAGGAACCUGCUCUGCUUUCUCGCUCAUCUCUCUGAGCAAACUGAAGACAGGAGCUUGGCCUCAAGGAGACAGAAACCUUCAGGAGAUGGGAAGUCACUUCUGAAAGAAAACCUACAGGAUCAGUUUUCCUGACUGCAGUUGUGCCAUGGACACAGCAGAGUCUAUGCCCAAUGAACCC